Pygoscelis adeliae (Adelie penguin) is the source of this 576-nucleotide long non-coding RNA. RefSeq lists it as uncharacterized. The record is from RefSeq and is a predicted model, not a curated record. The transcript has 3 exons. NCBI's taxonomy places the organism in Eukaryota, Metazoa, Chordata, Aves, Sphenisciformes, Spheniscidae.
AAAUGGUGGGGGAGAACAGGUAGCUUUGCUGGAUAACCUUGGACUCUGCCUCGGUUUCCCCAUGUGCUGUCACGGCUCCCAGCAGGCUGUGGGAGGUGUCUGGAAGAGGUGCCCUCCCUCCUCCAGCUGCUGGCAGAACGAGGCCCGUCUUUGCUGCCUGCAUCCUGCUCUGGGACGCGAUUCCUCCAACAGGCGGCCUUGCGAAGCCGCAUGCCCAUGUCGGAGCUUUGGCUGGAGUCUGCUGGAGCCAGGGCAAGGAGGACACCCGAGCAAAGCCAAAACAAACUGCAGAGCUAGACAAAAGCGGGCAGUAGCAAAAGGGACCUGGGAGCUCUCCGUCUGAAAAGCAAGGAGGGCUGGAGUGAAGUGCCGAUAGCGGCUCUCCGCUGGAGCAGGAGCGGCAUGGUUUGGCUGUCCUGCUCCAGGGCCCACGUCAAUCAUUAAUGGAGGGUGAUGAAGACGUGUGUGACAUCCAUCAUUCUAGAGCUGCCUGUUCCAGGUUUACCUGUGUCACUCUCUAAGACAGAGGAGCAGAGAAACUGCCUAAGGAAAACCAGCAUUUUUUGGUAAGGAGUU